This 458-nucleotide ribosomal RNA is filed under the name uncultured bacterium. RNAcentral's name for it is "SSU rRNA". It matches the Rfam family "Bacterial small subunit ribosomal RNA", at positions 26 to 518 of the family's 1533-position model. The record is from RNAcentral.
AGGAUAAACGCUGGCGGCGUGCCUAACACAUGCAAGUCGAACGCUCUCUGGCAACAGAGGGAGUGGCGGACGGGUGAGUAACACGUGGGUACCUACCCCAAGGUGAGGAAUACCGGCGAGAAAUCGCCGACAAUACCGCAUAGCUUUCGCAAGAAAGAAAGCUUCGCAAGAGGCGCCAUGGGAAGGGCCUGCGGCCGAUUAGCUAGUUGGUAAGGUAAAAGCUUACCAAGGCGACGAUCGGUAGCUGGUCUGAGAGGACGAUCAGCCACACUGGGAUUGAGAACGGCCCAGACUCCUACGGGGGGCAGCAGUGAGGAAUUUCGUCAAUGGGGGCAACCCUGAACGAGCAACGCCGCGUGCAGGAAGAAGGUUUUCGGAUCGUAAACUGCUUUUCUCUGGGACGAGAACGGACGGUACCAGAGGAAUAAGGCCCCGGCUAACUACGCGCCAGCAGCCGC